Molecule: small RNA, 1643 nt
Filed under: Histoplasma capsulatum
Lineage: Eukaryota; Fungi; Ascomycota; Eurotiomycetes; Onygenales; Ajellomycetaceae
Also listed under: 1 other name
Description: hypothetical RNA
Source: RNAcentral
AAAACACUUGAUAUAACUUAAUACAGGCAUCUCAACCCUCGCACUAUUCUAAACACAGGACGAGGGGUAGAAUUAGGGGAAUAAUAGCUAUAGGUUAGAGCACUAGAUUAGAAAUCUAGGGCCAGUUAGAAUGGUUAGGCUCUGAAAAACAUACCUUUCUUUAUCCUGCUAAACAGUGAGACUGUGGAUUAUGUAGAGAUCAUGUGACAUAACCUGACUUUGAACUGGACACGAAAGUGGAGAAGAAAAAAACAUGCGUCCGCAGUUGAGCGCAUCCGCCCACGGCCAGCUUGUUUGAAAGGUACGGAAGAAAAACGUGCAGAUGACGUGCUUGAUUAACGGACCUUCAUCAAAAUAGUACUUGUUGCAUUAUGUGUGGCCUAGACCCAACCGUUCCUCACAUCUUCUAUCUGCGAGAGUGGACGAAGUCAUGAUUGGUAAAGGAAAAACAAUAUCUUCACAUAACUGACUAGUUAACAAACAUCUUUCCUGCGGAAUACAAUAGAAUGGCCAAUUCUUCUUCUCUCCCUUUCUUUUCCAUGCAAGAGGUUUCUCUCAACACCCUAUGUACCUCUGACAUAUCCAGAAGAAAGUCGAAUAGAAUAACAGCCAGAAACAUAUAACGUUACACAAAAUCAGCUGGUCCUAGUAUAUAUUUGUCUUCUCUUAUCUUCUUCUCUUCUUCUGUUCUGUUUUCAUUUGUUCUCUUUCUUUUCUUUCCUUUAUUUUUUUUGAAAACAUUUUUGCUUUUUGUUCAUUUUUUUACCCUUUAUAUUUCGUUCGCGCGAGAUCAAUUUUGAAUUCUCGAUGACAUGGCCGACAAAAAUCUAUAUUUUCUCCCUUUUAAGUCAGAGACGGAUUUUCCACGUUCGCUAUUAACGUACAUGUACAGUGGGGAGGGAAUGAGAAGAAAAAUGAAGGAAUACUAGCCAUCCAGUCGGUUGCUUGUUCCUUGGUUUCAUCAGCCAGCGUUGUACGCUAUUGCACGACCAUCAAUUCCUUGUCGAUGACAUCGACGGAUCCUCCGGCUCCUGAACUUUUUCGUUCCCGUCGUCUCCCGCCCUCUUAUUUCCCUCACUGCCGCUUGAGUGGAUGUCCGGUUUAAGGUUUGGUGUGCCCUGCUGGGUUGAGCUUAAAUCGAUAGAGGACUGAUUUUUCCCAUGGAGGCUUAGUAAAUUAUAAUUAACACGGCCGACCCUCUCAGUCUUCUCACGGAAAUUCUCAGAAAACCCCUCUCCCAGAUCAGGAUGAACUGUGUCGCGCCGGCUCGAACUAGGCUCUGUGUGCGACAAAGUUUCCUCAAGAAGCCCUGGGAAAUUAUCAUGGUCAAUCUGCUCCAUCAGCUCACGGAAGCCCUUAUCCAUAUCAACCUGAAUUUCACCCAUUGAAACAGUAACUGGUUGCUCUUGUUGCAUUGUUGCCGCCACUCUACUAGCCAAGGCAUCAGGCGUGCUAUGAAAUGGCAUGCUCUGCCCUGAAGAAGUAGAGGUUAAAGGAUCCUCAGUCCCCUCCAUCUCCUCCUUUUUGGCGCUGUCCCAACCAGCAAAAAAUUGCUCUAAGAGGUCGUCUAAUGAGUCGGGAGGCAAAAGAAGAUUGUUGGCAUCCCUCGUCAUUCCCUUCACGUUAGGAGCCAUGCCAAUACC